GGGAGAGAGGCGACUGAUUUGGGAAUGAGAGAGAGAACCGAGAGUGUUGUGGAGAUGGGCUACUAUUUUUUUUUAAUUGGGCUUCUUUCAUUUAUGUUAAAUUGGGCUCUUAUUUUAAUUGGGCUUGGUUAUUAAAUUCUUUGGGCCUUGUUGAUUUAUUUUUAGUGGGCUUGAGUUGGGCUGGCUUAUUUAUUAAUAUUGGGCCUCUGAUUUUAUUUAAAUGGCCGAUUUUAAUUACUGAUUGGGCCUCCGAUUUUAAUUAUAUGGGCUUUGAUUUAAUUGUUGUUUUGAUUUGUAUGGGCUUCAUUUAAUUGAGUUGGACUUUAUUUAUUUUAAUAAUUGGGCCAUUACAUUGGGCCAUUUCAUUGGGCCGGAGUUUAUUUAAUUAUG
RNAcentral lists this long non-coding RNA (390 nucleotides) under Salvia miltiorrhiza (redroot sage). RNAcentral describes it as "long non-coding RNA (SMIL_LNC001990)". Lineage: Eukaryota; Viridiplantae; Streptophyta; Magnoliopsida; Lamiales; Lamiaceae. The record is from RNAcentral.